ACAGCAGUAGCCGCGGUAAUACAGAGGGUGCGAGCGUUAAUCGGAUUUACUGGGCGUAAAGCGUGCGUAGGCGGCUUUUUAAGUCGGAUGUGAAAUCCCUGAGCUUAACUUAGGAAUUGCAUUCGAUACUGGGAAGCUAGAGUAUGGGAGAGGAUGGUAGAAUUCCAGGUGUAGCGGUGAAAUGCGUAGAGAUCUGGAGGAAUACCGAUGGCGAAGGCAGCCAUCUGGCCUAAUACUGACGCUGAGGUACGAAAGCAUGGGGAGCAAACAGGAUUAGAUACCCGAGUAGUCCCUGUCUCUUAUAA
Molecule: ribosomal RNA, 305 nt
Filed under: uncultured bacterium
Lineage: Bacteria
Description: partial 16S ribosomal RNA
Rfam family: Bacterial small subunit ribosomal RNA
Source: RNAcentral